AGCUCCAAUAGCGUAUAUUAAAGUUGUUGCAGUUAAAAAGCUCGUAGUUGGAUUUCGGAGUGGGCCAGUUGGUCCGCCGCAAGGUGUGUUACUGACUGGUUUGCUCUUCUUCGCAAAGACUGCGUGUGCUCUUCAGUGAGUGUGCGUAGGAUUUACGACGUUUACUUUGAAAAAAUUAGAGUGUUCAAAGCAGGCUAUUGCUUGAAUACAUGAGCAUGGAAUAAUGGAAUAGGACUUUGGUCCCAUUUUGUUGGUUUCUAGGGCCGAAGUAAUGAUUAAGAGGGACAAUUGGGGGCAUCCGUAUUUCGUUGUCAGAGGUGAAAUUCUCAGAUUUGUUAAAGACUAACUUAUGCGAAAGCAUUUGCCAAGGAUGUUUUCA
Molecule: ribosomal RNA, 379 nt
Filed under: marine Metazoa environmental sample
Lineage: Eukaryota; Metazoa
Description: SSU rRNA
Rfam family: Eukaryotic small subunit ribosomal RNA
Source: RNAcentral